Anas platyrhynchos (mallard) is the source of this 1417-nucleotide long non-coding RNA. RefSeq lists it as uncharacterized. Lineage: Eukaryota; Metazoa; Chordata; Aves; Anseriformes; Anatidae. The record is from RefSeq and is a predicted model, not a curated record.
AAAAGGUCUCUAGUGAAUGAGGCAGGGUACUUUGGAACAGAAAAAGCUGAUCUCAGGCUUAAGAGCUCUUGUGUGAUGCCAGGCUUCCUUUUAGUGAAAGUGGAUCUGGGAUGCAGCAUGUGAUUUUAAUGAAAAAUAUGGGACUUCAUUUAUGAUUAAAACAACAACAACAAAAAAAUCACACUUCGUUAAAAGUGAUUUUCUGAGGACAUCAAGCUAAUGAGCUAUGGUAUUUAUUUGUAAGCAAACAAGCCUGUACAGAUUUUCCUGUUAAGUAUCUGCAUGAGCUCAUGUCUGAAAGUGAAAUGGAAACCUACUAACAACACAGAAAGCUCAUUUUUUUUCCGGAUGAGGGAACAUGGUGGGAUUUUUGUCUGAGACAUCAGUCACCCAACAAUUAAUGGUGUCAUUUCAGAGGUUACUGAAUCUGGAUGACAUUUUACUAGACUUCUUUCAUGUUUGAUGCUUACUUGUGAGCGAGGUUCUCUGCAACAGCUUGCUCCAGCAGUGACCUCAAGGAGUGUGCCUUUUGACUUCAAAUCGACAUGUUCUAGAAACUGUCAACCAAAGUGAUCCAGCUGAUCUUAGCAGAUGGGAAAGUGAAUAAAGCAGAAGGAGUCUCAAGCUUAGAACGGCUUCAUUGUUAUUCCUCACAAACAAUGACAGUGCUAGUACAGAGUGUAAGUGAAACUAUAUGCUGGAAACAGCUUCUCCUCAGCACUUUUUUCUUCAACAGAGAAGUUCAACAGUGGCACAGCUCAAGAGCAGAUGCUGCAUUUUGUUCCAUCUGCAGUGACCUGCCUCUUGACAGCAAACCCUCUACUCUGAUCCAGUUAAAUCUAUGCAGAGAAACAACCCUCAAGUAAUAUAGAACUGCCACAACAGAAAUGCUCUAUACCUCGUAACUCCUCGGUUUGGAGUUUAAUUUACAUUAUAGGUGCCUUCGCAUACAGCAGUAUAUAUGGUUCCAUGAUAUAGCCAUUUAGACAAUUUGACCUUAAGACAGUAAUCUUAAUCUUCUUCUGUUUUACCAUACCUCAUCAGUUCAAGCAUGUGGUGUUUGUUUUUACCUCUAUUUUACUUUCAAAUUAUCAUAUUGUCAUCUUUAGUCAGCUGUGUUAAGAAAUACCCAUGAUACUGCCAAAAUAUUUUCCUCUUGUUUUACCAUAAAUAUUACAGUCCAAGUCCUCAGGUCCCAGCACAGAGCCUUGGGAAGCCAGCUAUGUCCUGCAGGUUCUGGGAACUGUAAUAUUCUCUGCAAGUUGUAGAGCAACAGUAAAAUACUGCUAUGCAACUAAAGGCUUUAGAUAAGGCAGGUACAGUAGUUAGCAUAUGCUAAAAUCCCACUGGCAUCUGAGGAAUUUGCACGUGCUUUAUGUUUAGCAUGCAUUCUGUUGAAUCACUGUCCUCUGAGAUG